This 279-nucleotide ribosomal RNA is filed under the name uncultured bacterium. RNAcentral's name for it is "partial 16S ribosomal RNA". It matches the Rfam family "Bacterial small subunit ribosomal RNA", at positions 333 to 604 of the family's 1533-position model. The record is from RNAcentral.
UGAAGCCUACGGGACGCAGCAGUGGGGAAUUUUGGACAAUGGGCGCAAGCCUGAUCCAGCUAUUCCGCGUGUGGGAUGAAGGCCCUCGGGUUGUAAACCACUUUUGUAGAGAACGAAAAGACACCUUCGAAUAAAGGGUGUUGCUGACGGUACUCCAAGAAUAAGCACCGGCUAACUACGUGCCAGCAGCCGCGGUAAUACGUAGGGUGCGAGCGUUAAUCGGAAUUACUGGGCGUAAAGGGUGCGCAGGCGGUUGAGUAAGACAGAUGUGCAAACCCC